MicroRNA precursor from Medicago truncatula (barrel medic), 281 nucleotides. It matches the Rfam family "MIR2655 microRNA precursor family". NCBI's taxonomy places the organism in Eukaryota, Viridiplantae, Streptophyta, Magnoliopsida, Fabales, Fabaceae. The record is from Rfam.
CCCUUAACUUAUUUUUUGGUUUCGUUUUGGUCCCUUAACUUAUUUUUUGGUUUCGUUUUAGUCCCUUAACUUAUUUUUUGGUUUCAUUUUGGUCCCUUAACUCUAAUACAUUCAUCCUAACAUAAAGGACCAAAGUGGUUGACGGAGAAAGAGUUAAGGGACCAAAACGAAACCAAAAAUUAAGUUAAAGGACCAAAACAAAACUUUUAAUUGUUAAGAGACCAAAACGAAACCAAAAAGUAAGUUAAGGGACUAAAACGAAACUUUUAAUAGUUAAAGGA